CCCUUAGAUGUUCUGGGCCGCACGCGUGCUACACUGAGUGGAUCAGCGGGUCAGGUUGCGCGAAAGUGUUUCCUAAUCUUGAAAUCCGCUCGUGAUGGGGAUUGACGGUUGCAAUUUUCCGUCAUGAACGAGGAAUACCUUGUAAGCGCGGGUCAUCAUCCCGCGCUGAAUACGUCCCUGCCCUUUGUACACACCGCCCGUCGCUCCUACCGAUUGAAUGGUCCGGUGAGGCUUUGGGAUCUGAGCAAAGAGAGCGUUUCGCUCGUUUUGCCCGGAAAACUCAGUCGAACCUUAUCAUUUAGAGGAAGGAGAAGUCGUAACA
This 322-nucleotide ribosomal RNA is filed under the name uncultured eukaryote. Its description in RNAcentral is "partial 18S ribosomal RNA". It matches the Rfam family "Eukaryotic small subunit ribosomal RNA", at positions 1470 to 1796 of the family's 1831-position model. The record is from RNAcentral.